UACGUAGGUGGCAAGCGUUGUCCGGAAUUAUUGGGCGUAAAGCGCGCGCAGGCGGUCCUUUAAGUCUGAUGUGAAAGCCCACGGCUCAACCGUGGAGGGUCAUUGGAAACUGGGGGGACUUGAGUACAGAAGAGAAGAGUGGAAUUCCACGUGUAGCGGUGAAAUGCGUAGAGAUGUGGAGGAACACCAGUGGCGAAGGCGACUCUUUGGUCGUGA
RNAcentral lists this ribosomal RNA (216 nucleotides) under uncultured bacterium. RNAcentral describes it as "partial 16S ribosomal RNA". It matches the Rfam family "Bacterial small subunit ribosomal RNA", at positions 524 to 739 of the family's 1533-position model. The record is from RNAcentral.